AGGCAGAAGCUGCCCCGAGAGACCAGCAGCAACGGUCUGGAAGAUGGGGCUGCAGGGAACGUGGGAGAGGGAGGAUUGGGCACCCCACCUCCGGGUCUCCGCAGGCUCUCCUAAGUCUUGUUUUUAAAAGAAACAAAACUCGGCCGCGCGCGGUGGCUCACGCCUAUAAUCCCAGCACUUGGGGAGGCCGAGGCCGGUGGAUCACCUGAGGUCGAGGGUUCGAGACCAGCCUGGCCAACAAGUUGAAACCCCGUCUCUACUAAAAAUACAAAAAUUAGCUGGAUGUGGUGACGCGCCUGUAAUCCCAGCUACUCAGGAGGCUGAGGCAGGAGAAUCGCUUGAACCCGGGAGGCGGAGGUUGCAGUGAGCGGAGAUCGUUCCAUUGCACUCCAGCCUGGGCGACAGACCGAGACUUAAAGGAAAGAAAAAAAAGAAAAAGAAAAGGAAACAAAACUCGUCCGCGCUCUGCGCCAGGGACACCAGCUCAGCUGAGCGCACGGAGACUGUAGGCAGGACCUCCCUACCCCUCAGGUCAAACAAAGACCCAAGGCCUCUAGUGAGCAAUAGCACCACGGACCGUUUGGGACACCUCCAACUCGAGUUCCCGGAUUCACAGUCCGGGACUGUGCCGCUCCAGUCCCGGGGAGCAUAUAGCCAAUUCCCAGGUCAGAACAGACCAGCUUCUUAAGAACCGAGUGAAGACUCAGUGCUGGCAUUUGUCUCCGUAGGUACUGGCCGACCUGCAACCAGAAGGGUUUCUAGCCAGCUCAGGGCCCUCCGAACAAAGCAGCGCUCGGUGCCGGACCUGCAGCUCUCCCCACCCGGCAGCAGCGCCCUCAGCACGCCCGGGAACCCCCGACCCCUCUGAGCCCGGGGUACUGCGCCCGGGUCUCCACGCCCAGAGAUGCUCCCCGGUCUCCACCGUCGGGCAAGCCCCAAGCGCAGCAGCGCAGAGUCCUGGGGUCACCAGAGCUCGUACUAGGACAUCGUCUCCCCAUUUAACACCGCCUCCGGUCCCAUCUGAGUUGCAAGUGGUGGGGAUGUGGGGCUCCGGAUCAAAGUCCCCGAAACCGAGCACUUCCCGAAGCCUCCUUGGCCUCGAAACAAAACAAUAACGCCCAACUCCAUCAUAUUCCAGAACUCCCACCACCUGCAUACAGACAUUCAGCUGCACAAGCCCCCUCCAUGCUACAGUCAACAGGAUCUCCAGGCCACGGCUCAAGCCCAGGUACUCACAUCAGUGGUUCUAUCAACACUCAGGACAGACCCAUAGAAGAGGCCCAAGCAGGCCCUGGAAGUGCAUGUGGAGGCCACCAGGCAAGGAAUUCUGGAGUCCCAGAUCAUAUCUGGGUGUCCAUCAGCAUGUUACUUCACAUCUCUGUACCUCAGUUUAUUCAUCUUUCAAAUGGAAGCAACAUAUAGAGCUGCCUUAUAGAGUUGCUCUGGGUAUUAGAUGUAUAAUAUAUGUGAACUGCUUGGUACUGGGCCUGGUAUAUGGUAUGUGCUCAAUAAAUGAUAGUUGUUUAUUAUUGUCAUUUAUUAUCAUCAUCAUCAUCAUCAUAAUUAAAUAUUAUUCCAAGCAACAAUGUGUUCCUCAUAGUCCAACAAUAAUUUAAUAAAUGUAACCUUUCCAAAACUCCGAUCUGCAAAUUUUAAAUAAAUAUUUUCAAUUAAAUUAA
RNAcentral lists this long non-coding RNA (1679 nucleotides) under Homo sapiens (human). RNAcentral's name for it is "uncharacterized LOC105376196 (LOC105376196)". The record is from RNAcentral. Lineage: Eukaryota; Metazoa; Chordata; Mammalia; Primates; Hominidae.